AUGAAGAGAGCAUACUAAGAUAGCCAAGGAGACUGCCUGAAACCGUAACCCACAAGAUUCAAUCGAUUGUUGGAAUAUUGUUUUUGAAAUGCUAAAAAUUGAUUAAAAACCCCCAUAAAAUUGAAUUAUUGAGAAGAAUUUGGCGCAGGCAAGUCAUCCUUGGCUACUAAAUAUGAACUCUCUUCU
Eutrema salsugineum is the source of this 186-nucleotide microRNA precursor. Lineage: Eukaryota; Viridiplantae; Streptophyta; Magnoliopsida; Brassicales; Brassicaceae. The record is from Rfam.